CAGCCGUAAACUAUGCUCGCUAGGUGUCAGGCAUGGCGCGACCGUGUCUGGUGCCGCAGGGAAGCCGUGAAGCGAGCCACCUGGGAAGUACGGCCGCAAGGCUGAAACUUAAAGGAAUUGGCGGGGGAGCACAACAACGGGUGGAGCCUGCGGUUUAAUUGGACUCAACGCCGGACAACUCACCGGGGACGACAGCAAUACGUAGGCCAGGCUGAAGACCUUGCCUGAAUCGCUGAGGAGGAGGUGCAGUGGCGUAGACGUCU
RNAcentral lists this ribosomal RNA (263 nucleotides) under uncultured archaeon. RNAcentral's name for it is "partial 16S ribosomal RNA". It matches the Rfam family "Archaeal small subunit ribosomal RNA", at positions 748 to 1009 of the family's 1478-position model. The record is from RNAcentral.